RNAcentral lists this ribosomal RNA (483 nucleotides) under uncultured bacterium. Its description in RNAcentral is "partial 16S ribosomal RNA". It matches the Rfam family "Bacterial small subunit ribosomal RNA", at positions 28 to 523 of the family's 1533-position model. The record is from RNAcentral.
GACGAACGCUGGCGGCGUGCUUAACACAUGCAAGUCGAACGGUGAAAGCGGAGCUUGCUCCGCUGGAUCAGUGGCGAACGGGUGAGUAACACGUGGGCAACCCGCCCUUCACUUCGGGAUAACUCCGGGAAACACGGGCGAAUACCGGAUAUGACCACUUGACGCAUGUGGGGUGGUGGAACGUUUGUCGGCCAGGGAUGUGCGCGCGGCAUAUCAGCUUGAUGGUGAGGAAAUGGCUCACAAUGGCUUCGACGGGUAGCCGGCCUGAGAGGGUGACCGGUCACACUGGGACUGAGACACGGCCCAGACUCCUACGGGAGGCAGCAGUGGGGAAUAUUGGACAAUGGGCGGAAGCCUGAUCCAGCAACGCCGCGUGAGGGAUGACGGCCUUCGGGUUGUAAACCUCUUUCAGUACCGACGAAGCGCAAGUGACGGUAGGUACAGAAGAAGCACCGGCCAACUACGUGCCAGCAGCCGCCGUAA